Uranotaenia lowii is the source of this 2867-nucleotide RNA transcript. It is a transcript of the gene named nucleoporin Ndc1-like, with no coding region annotated. The record is from RefSeq and is a predicted model, not a curated record. The transcript has 5 exons. Lineage: Eukaryota; Metazoa; Arthropoda; Insecta; Diptera; Culicidae.
GCGCGCAGACAGAACACCGAACGCCGGCAUGUGUGGAUUGAAUUUCGGAAAGUUGAAGGGGUAUUCUCAAUAAUUCUUGUAUUCUAGUUGAUGAAAAUUGUUACCGUUAGCUUCUGAUUGCGGAUUGUUCGGAAUAUGGCAGCAGCAAUGGAGCCCGUCUCCUCCCGGGAUCUCGAAUGUCGCAAAAUUUGUGUAGAGCGGUUUAUCUAUGCCAUCCUGUACAGCGUCGCUGCCCAGUAUCUGCUAUUAACGGUGUUCCUGCUGCUAGUCAACUUUAGUUUACUUCAUCCGGUCGUUUGGAUUUUGGGCUCCUUCCGGUUGCUCCUCUCGCUAUCGACCUGGCUCUGGAUAAUGCCACUCGUUAGUGCCGUCAUUGUGCAUGGCAUUUUUCUAGCUAAGGCAUAUCUUUCGGCCAGCAGCUACUGUCCGACAAGAUUCCAGCUGCUGUAUCGCACCCUUAUUCAAAAGUCGGUUUUGCUGCUGAUUAACUGUGUGAUUGGCUUCCUGACCGGAUGGUUAUACACAAGGUUCCUACGAGACGAUUAUCGGUUGCUAUUCUUGAACACUGACAAAGGAUUAUCGGUACUGAAUGAAAAAUUCCUGUUUCUUUUGCUGGGCGGGACAUUCGCAGGAGUGUACUUUUUCGUGAAAAAUAACCGCACAGUGGACGAUAAAGCAUCUUUUGUUAGCUUUCCGGUCAUUCAACAACCACGUUACCAGCAGAUAAGAGCCAACCUAUACAGCAUCGUGUACCACUCGAUGUUCAAAUCCUUCGUUCCAACGUUGAUCUACGUGAGUUUCUUCUACACCUUCUGUUGCCUUUAUUUCCGGUACAAGCUUGCUGCACUCUUCCAAGGAACCGUGCUGGCCGAGGAAUCUUUCCUAGGAGCGUUUUACACAACCGUAUCUGAUGUCCGAUUGGUCGUAUACUGCUGGAUCUUGUCCUCGCAAGUUCUGAGCAAUAUGAAUCUCAUGCAGGUCUUGUUCCACAUUUUUCUGACCGAAUAUCGGACGUUCCCAGUUGAAAAAUCUACGAUAAACAAUGAUGCCGAGGUCUCGCUGGUGGAAGCCUUGGCUUGUGAUAAAAUUCCCAUCGUACAGCAGCUGGCAGCUUUGGAUCUUUUUACUAUUGCCGACAGCUGCGACGUAUCUCGACGAAUUCGACUCUACGCAUUAUCCAUUCCCGGAGGCCACCCGUACAAUUGGCGAAUCGUUUCUGGCGAAUGUAUUCGAUUGAUCCGUGAGUUCACCAAUGAACUAUCUAAAUCAAUGGAAGGUGCCACUCCCAAGGUGCAUCCUGAAGUGUCCAAACUCCGUCCCACCGCUUCGAUGGAUGCCGAAAAAAUACUCAUGAAACAAUACAACGAAAGUUUCGGCAUUCGAAGUUUAUCUACAACCGUACCGCCUAACAAUGCCAUUCCUCCAAGUCAACCGGAUGUUAUCUGUAAAACCAUAGAUCGAAAGUUGGAUUCAUUGCGCCAAACACUUCGCAAUAUACCAGGAAUUUUCUAUCUAUUCGGAGAACCUAAAGCUGCCAAAACUUGCUACCUUCUGUCGAGUCAAUCGCAGCAAAUGAUCUGGAUAUCUCAAGCGCUAGGAUCUCUGGCAGCUCAUUCGAUUCGCGAAGACCAAUUCGGGGUGGUUCAGAACGAUCUGCCACUGAUCAUUAGAACGUUGUUGCAGCUAAAACAAGUCGUCGACAAGGUCGGUUCCAUCCAGCUGGAUAUGAAGAAAGUGGAUCGACGCUACGUGGCCCUGAAAGCAGCGACCAAGAGAAGCCUUUACCGGAUUGCUCAUGCCUUUGCCGACUACCUGAAUGAUAUUGUGCUGGAUCCAAACGACGUUAAAGCUCUGCAAGGGUUUGUGAGCUACAGGGAAAUCUGAGGAUGGCCGGCUAGUGUAAGAAUAAUUCAGUUGUUGAUUUGAUUAUCAAACAAUUUACUUUGUUUUCAAUUAAAAACUACUCACUGCAUCGUUCAUCAAUAACUCCCACUUUCCUGCACCUAUGACCGGAGGCCAUGAUCUCGGCUUGGACUUUGUUAGAAAGAAACGCGCAAAGACCGGACACAAAUCGGCGCGAUGAAGACACCACUGACUGUUUGGUGCCGUGUGCACGUCGCUAUCGAUGGACUUGUGUUUUGCGAAAUGCGCGCCCCGCUUGACCAAACAGUCAGGAGGGACGACGGACACGAGAAUCCUUUGUCAGCGCGGUAACAAGAGUACUAAGAAGGAUGGGGAAUCGACUUACGAACUAUACAAGGAAAAAAAACUCACAACAAACAAAUAUCGAAACCGAAAAUGGGUCACGUCUCAGAGAAAUAGAAAAUAUUUUCCGACCGAGGAACGGUUGCCGUUGAAAAUUUUGCGCAUUAGUUUAAACCGUACAACUUUGUAUAAAUGAGGAUGGGUGGAAAACCUGCUUCAACGCUCUUGCUAAUCAGCAAUCGUAUGAACGAAACGUGCCUUUGUGGGUGUUUAUUUUUUUCUGCUUCUGCAAACAAAAGGACAGGUUCAUUAAUUUUAAUGUGAAUACAUUUCGUCUGACAAACAUAUGUAGCGAAUUUAGGUGGGUAAAGACGAAUAUUCCCUAGCUAUAGGGGACUAGUUCAGCCAACAGACACACCCCCUUGCGGUAGAGACGAUUAACAUAUCCGAUUUUUGUUAUCUUCGCGAUUCAUUAGGCGGGAUCCCGCGGGAGGAGAUAAUGCCAAUUUCAUUUCGAUCGAAACCGAAAUGGUAAAGUUGAAAGAUACACCUUUUGAUUGUUAAUGAUAUUCAACUCUUGAUUCAAAAUCCAUUAUAUCAGGUUUUUUUUUGGAUAAAAAGUUAUCUACAAGCAAUGACCUACUGUUAAAGUUUUCAUUGAG